This 429-nucleotide ribosomal RNA is filed under the name uncultured bacterium. RNAcentral's name for it is "bacterial SSU rRNA". It matches the Rfam family "Bacterial small subunit ribosomal RNA", at positions 32 to 458 of the family's 1533-position model. The record is from RNAcentral.
AGGCCGGAAACGUUUGCGGCGGGCCUAACACAUGCAAGUCGAACGCACUAGCAAUAGUGAGUGGCGCACGGGUGCGUAACACGUGGGUAAUCAACCCUUCAGCUUGGGAUAACGACUUGAAAGGGUUGCUAAUACCGGAUACGGCGCGGGAGGCUUCGGCUUCUCACGAGAAAGCCUCGCAAGGGGCACUGAAGGACGAGCCUGCGGCCCAUCAGCUAGUUGGUGAGGUAAGAGCUCACCAAGGCGAAGACGGGUAACUGGUCUGAGAGGAUGAUCAGCCACACUGGAACUGAGACACGGUCCAGACUCCUACGGGAGGCAGCAGCGGGGAAUAUUGCGCAAUGGGCGAAAGCCUGACGCAGCCACGCCGCGUGAGCGAUGAAGGCCUUCGGGUCGUAAAGACGUCUGUGGGGAGGAGACGAAGAAAGA